UCAAGCGAACAAGGGCGCAGGGCGAAUGCCUUGGCACUGGGAGCCGAUGAAAGACGUGAUAAGCUGCGAUAAGCUUCGGGGAGCUGCAAAUAAGCAUUGAUCCGGAGAUUUCUGAAUGAGGAAACUCACCUGGGUUCAUACUCAGGUACGUUGUACUGAAAUUCAAAAUAGGUACAUCGGGGGAACCGCCUGAACUGAAACAUCUAAGUAGGGCGAGGAAGAGACAUCAAACGAGAUUCCGUAAGUAGUGGCGAGCGAACGCGGAAGAGGGCAAACCGAGAGUAGAAAUACUUUCGGGGUACGGACUGCUUUUAGGACUUAAUCUGUUAACCGAACGGCAUGGGAAGGCCGGUCAGAGAGUGUGAGAACCACGUAGGUGAAAACGACAAGAGCUGAGCGAUUUCCAGAGUACGGCCAGACACGUGAAACCUGGUCGGAAGAUGGGGGGACCACCCUCCAACCCUAAAUACUACCCAGUGACCGAUAGCGUAUAGUACUGUGAAGGAAAGGUGAAAAGCACCCCGGGAGGGGAGUGAAAAAGAACCUGAAACCCUGUGCCUACAAGCACCUAGAGCACGUCAAUGUGUGAUAGGGUACUUUUUGUAGAACGGUCCGGCGAGCGAUUGUAUGCAGCAAGGUUAAGGACUUAAGGUCUGGAGCCGAAGCGAAAGCGAGUUUGAAAAGGGCGUUAAGUUGCAUAUAAUGGGCCCGAAACCGGGUGACCUACCCAUGGUCAGGUUGAAGUGGAAGUAAAAUUCCAUGGAGGACCGAACCGACCUCCGUUGAAAAGGCGGCGGAUGAACUGUGGGUAGCGGAGAAAUUCCAAUCGAACCCGGAGAUAGCUGGUUCUCCCCGAAAUAGUUUUAGGACUAGCCUCAAGUUAGAUACCUGGAGGUAAAGCACUGAAUAGCCUAGCGGCCGAGAGGUUAGCGAAGCUUAUCAAACUCAGAAUGCCAGAGUAUUGAUGCUUGGGAGUCAGACAGUGUCAGAUAAAUGUCAUUGUCAAAAGGGAAACAGCCCAGAUCUACAGCUAAGGUCCCAAAGUCAGGUUAAGUGGAAAACGAUGUGAAGAUACGCAGACAACCAGGAUGUUGGCUCAGAAGCAGCCACUCAUUCAAAGAGUGCGUAAUAGCUCACUGGUCGAGCGUCUUUGCGCGGAGAAUUUAACGGGGCUAAACCUGACACCGAAGCUUAGGCAAUCCAGUAAUGGAUUGGGUAGGGGAGCGUUGUAUACGCGGAGAAACAGUAGCGCAAGCGGCUGUGGAGUGUAUAGAAGUGAGAAUGCCGGAAUGAGUAGCGCGAAUGCAGUGAGAAUCUGCAUGGCCGAAAGCCUCAGGUUUUUGGAGGAAGGUUCGUCCGCUCCAAGUUAGUCGGGAGCUAAGGUGAGGCCGAAAGGCGUAGCCGAUGCACAGACGGUAGAGAUUCCGUCACCACCAAAAGAGUUAAGCACAGGGACACAUUUGAAGUCUCGGAGCCGGGUGUUGGUUCCGGUAGCGAUCGAGGGAAAUUAGUACCGAAGUCUGAGAUGGAAGAUGGCGAGAAAAGCUGUGUGUAUUUCUGAGGUGCCCGUACCGCAAACCGACACAGGUAGGUAGGAAGAAGAUUCUAAGGCCAACGGGAGAAGGGUUGUUAAGGAACUCGGCAAAUUGACCCCGUAACUUCGGGAGAAGGGGUGCUCCAGAGAUGGAGCCGCAGAGAAUCGGCCCAAGCAACUGUUUACCAAAAACACAGGUUUGUGCUAAAUCGAAAGAUGACGUAUACGAGCUGACGCCUGCCCGGUGCUGGAAGGUUAAGAGGAGAUGUGCAAGCAUUGAAUCGAAGCCCCAGUGAACGGCGGCCGUAACUAUAACGGUCCUAAGGUAGCGAAAUUCCUUGUCAGGUAAG
Molecule: ribosomal RNA, 1884 nt
Filed under: human gut metagenome
Description: bacterial LSU rRNA
Rfam family: Bacterial large subunit ribosomal RNA
Source: RNAcentral